UAGCUAGACGAUUUUAGCAUGCA
This 23-nucleotide non-coding RNA is filed under the name Arabidopsis thaliana (thale cress). The record is from RNAcentral. Lineage: Eukaryota; Viridiplantae; Streptophyta; Magnoliopsida; Brassicales; Brassicaceae.